CAAGAGUAUGUAUAGGGGGUGACACUUGACCAAUGCCAGAAGGUCAAAUAAGGCCGUUCCUAUCUCGCAAGAGGUAGGGGUGACGCUUUAUAAGCCCUGGUGAAUGUCGGCGAUAACUAUAAUCGUCCUAAGGUAGCGAAAUUCCUUGUCUGGUAAGUUCAGACGCGCACGAAUAGUGUAACGACUGGGGAACUGUCUCGGAGCACAGCUCGGUGAAAAUACAAUACCGGUGAAGAUGCCGGUUACCUGCAGAUAGACGAAAAGACCCCAGAAGCUUUACUGUAGCUUGAUAUUGCGUAUACGACGUGAUUGCGUAGCAUAGAUGGGAGAGGUUGAGAGCAUGAUCUUGGUUGUGCUGGACUCGUCAGUGAAAUACCAUUCUUUCUAGUUGUAUGCGCUAACCGGCGAGGACAAAACCUUGUCGAGACAGUAUCUGGUAGGCAGUUUUAGUGGGGCGCUAUCCUCCUAAAAAGUAACGGAGGAGUUCAUUAAGGUACCCUAGGCGCGAAUGGAAACCGUGCCGAUAGUGUAUUGGCAAAAGGGUGCUUGACUGCAAGUCGUGAAUGACGAGCAGGUGCGAAAGCAGGACAAAGUGAACCGACCAUGCGCAUUAGAUGCGGUGGAAGAUUAUCUGACAAAAGCUACUCUGGGGAUAACAGGCUAGUUGCGCCUAAGCGUCCAUAGCGACGGCGCAGUUCGGCACCUCGAUGUCGGCUCACCGUAUCCCGGGGGUGAAGAAGCUCCCAAGGGUUUGGCUGUUCGCCAAUUAAAACGGUACGCGAGCUGGGUUCAGACCGUUCAGGUUCUCAUAUCAAGGACUCUCCUUGAUAAAUGGGGGAUUGAACGAUCUGAACCCUCGAGAGAAAAGAAAAAACUGUUUGAAAUUUUUCGUUUAUAAACAAAUAGAAUAGAUAAGAAACAACCAAUCACGGCGGUCGAGUAUAGAAAUAUAUUCGAAGAAGCUAAUUGAUAUCGGGAAAAUCCUAUACUUAGGAAAAUUCCGAGGGAAGGGUAGUUCGAUAGAACUCACUAUGAAUUUUUUCGGAAAAAACCACCCGUAGAGACUGAACAUUAGCCUUCCGUAACUUUAUAAGUUUGGGAAGAAGAUACAGUCCAUUCCACUUAGUAAUAAGUGAAAAGAAGCGUGAGACAGGUUGGUCUCCUAUCUACUGCAGGCGUCGAUUAUUGAAGAGAUUUGCUCCUAGUACGAGAGGACCGGAGUGAACGAACCACUGGUCUGCCAGCUGUUCUGCCAAGGGCAACGCUGGGUAGCUAUGUUCGGAUUUGGAUAAGCGCUGAAAGCAUCUAAGCGCGAAGCCGACUCUAAGAUGAGUAAUCAUUAAGAUCCGUCAGAGAUGAUGACGUUGAUAGGCUUUAGGUGUACGCGCCGCAAGGCGUUGAGCCGAGAAGUACUAAUUGAUCGAUUGUUUCCUCCUC
Molecule: ribosomal RNA, 1437 nt
Filed under: Patescibacteria group bacterium
Lineage: Bacteria
Description: partial 23S ribosomal RNA
Rfam family: Bacterial large subunit ribosomal RNA
Source: RNAcentral